GUGAUGGCCUUCUAAUGGCUUCAGUGAAGAGUUUCUGUACUGCAGUCUAUGGCCAUCACAAACAGCAACAUGAUUCCUGCUGACAGGACCUGUCAAGAAGUUGGGUGACCUGUGCGAUGGUUUCAUACAAA
Molecule: non-coding RNA, 131 nt
Organism: Ictalurus punctatus (channel catfish)
Lineage: Eukaryota; Metazoa; Chordata; Actinopteri; Siluriformes; Ictaluridae
Source: Ensembl